UUUUUUUGUCACCACGGCAUAAUAAAUACAAGCUAGAAAAACAAAAAUAUCUCAAGAAAACUUACAAUAGUGUGUUCUAUCCUGAUUAUGUACUAAAUAUUCCAAAUUGCUAAAAACAGCAGAAUGAUUUAGGAAAUUUGAGGCCUCAGGGGCAAAAAACAUAGAAAAUUGCCUACCCCCUGGGUCAUAAAACAAAUAAUUUAACUUGUAAAUGCUAUGAUUUUACGAUUUUAAAGUUCUUGAUAUAGAAAACAAUAACUAUGCUUAGAAGUUAUGCAAAAAUCAGAUGUUAGUAGUCAUCUCUACAACAUUUUAAGUGAAUUUAUAUCUCAGACUGGUAUCUGCAUACAUACAACUAUUGCAAAC
Molecule: long non-coding RNA, 366 nt
Filed under: Mytilus galloprovincialis (Mediterranean mussel)
Lineage: Eukaryota; Metazoa; Mollusca; Bivalvia; Mytilida; Mytilidae
Source: RNAcentral